This 208-nucleotide small RNA is filed under the name Arabidopsis thaliana (thale cress). Its description in RNAcentral is "ATSL282090". The record is from RNAcentral. Lineage: Eukaryota; Viridiplantae; Streptophyta; Magnoliopsida; Brassicales; Brassicaceae.
AUAAAUUAAGGGUUCUAGGGCCUGACUGGUUUAAACGCAGCAGAUGCGGUUGCGGUUGUGGGAGUUUGCGGAAACGGGCGGUUGCGGUUUCAAGUGUUAUCAAGUGUUUUGAACGACUGGUUACGUUUGAUAAUGGAUGCAUUUGCGGGAGAUUUAUGAUUGGUAAACCAGCGGGUGCGAUAGUAACUAAAUAAAAAUAAAUCAAAAU